CCUUUCUUAAUCCUGCAUGCUUGUUAAAGCACAGUCAAAGUAGAUGGUCUUGGGCAGUUUGGUGAAGGACUUUCCAAGCUGCUGCACACCGCGGAUUCGCCACAUUUGUUUAGUUUCAUAUACCUACUCAAGAGGCAUGUUCCAGUGCGGUGUCUGAAAGAGACACAAGGGGGCCCAUACGCAUUUGUACGAAACUGAGUGGCGUUGCGUUCGUCAUUUGCUAAUUAACGUCUAGAAGUGUCCACAGUACGAAGUGAUGUAUCUGCUCUAGCUCAUACGCGGCAAGCGGCUGUCCCGAUGAAUGACGAAAACGCGACUGUGGAAACAGUACUGUCUUUUAGCGCCACCAACAUCUUUGUUGUCCUAAGUGCGGUCUCGGUAGGCAGUUCUAAUUCACAGAUUCACCGCGCUGUGGACAGAACACAAAUCUACUGGGGAAAGGACUUCGCGUGACCACUUCGGUGUCCUCUCCCCCGCAGUCACAGAGGUCGCCAGCAGCCCCAGAUUGAACUCUUGCAACAGUAGUGGACUUAUUCCCGGAAGCACUGAAUGUCACAGCCAAACGUGUCUGUUCUAGAAUUGAGUAACUGGUCAAUGUGGCAUGCACAUGGAAUGAUUUAUGGCUGUCGUCACUAGCUCGAUAAUCGUUCUGUCAACAGAGUUCCAAAAUGUGGGGACAACGGGACCGGGCAACAGCAACCAUAUUUUUUUUCCCAGCAUCGUCCUUGUGAGAUGAUGGUGGAUUCACAGCCGUGCUUGACGCACUGAAAACAUCCGCCUCCAAACUAAUACGGAUACGUCGGCUCCGUGCAACCUCAGCAAGAUGGUAGUAGUCAGCCUUCUCUGUGCUGCCCCCCUUGACGGAGCUAUAGUUUGUUUUAUCGGUUAUUCAGGGGAUGGCAUCGAAGCAUGCCACUUUGGUUUUGAA
Molecule: long non-coding RNA, 928 nt
Filed under: Toxoplasma gondii VEG
Lineage: Eukaryota; Apicomplexa; Conoidasida; Eucoccidiorida; Sarcocystidae
Source: RNAcentral